CCUUAGCCGAGAGGUUUGGGAAAUCUUGAGAAACUCCGUCGUGCUGGGGAUAGAGCAUUGUAAUUUUUGCUCUUCAACGAGGAAUUCCUAGUAAGCGCAAGUCAUCAGCUUGCGUUGAUUACGUCCCUGCCCUUUGUACACACCGCCCGUCGCUACUACCGAUUGAAUGGCUUAGUGAGGCUUCCGGAUGGAUUUCUAGGGGGGUAACCUUUUGGAGAUACAGAAGCUGGUCAAACUUGGUCAUUUAGAGGAAGUAAAAGUCGUAACAAGGUUUCCGUAGGUGAACCUGCGGAAGGAUCAAUA
This 303-nucleotide ribosomal RNA is filed under the name Metschnikowia drakensbergensis. RNAcentral describes it as "partial 18S ribosomal RNA". It matches the Rfam family "Eukaryotic small subunit ribosomal RNA", at positions 1527 to 1831 of the family's 1831-position model. The record is from RNAcentral. Lineage: Eukaryota; Fungi; Ascomycota; Pichiomycetes; Serinales; Metschnikowiaceae.